Populus euphratica (Euphrates poplar) is the source of this 358-nucleotide long non-coding RNA. RefSeq lists it as uncharacterized. NCBI's taxonomy places the organism in Eukaryota, Viridiplantae, Streptophyta, Magnoliopsida, Malpighiales, Salicaceae. The record is from RefSeq and is a predicted model, not a curated record. The transcript is spliced from 3 exons.
GUCUGUUUUGUCAAACAAUAAACCAAUCAUCUUGUAAGAAAAAGAUUAGGCAAGUGUUCUUUUCAUUCAUUUCAUCUUAUCUCUCCUGUGAAUGGAAUCUCCUGCCCCUGGAUAUUAAAGUAGAUAAUUUCUCCCGACAUCACGAUCAAAUACAGAUGCAAUGAAGAAAUCCAUCCCUGGGUAGAACAUUUGAUGCACCGAGGCCAUCCAUGCGCGACCUCAGGUAAAAGGUAAGUGCACACGAAACGUGAUUUUAUCAACACCUGUCACGGAUCACAAUUCCAAUGAUGUUUUUGACCAUUUUUAGAGAGAUGGGUAUCAUUUCAAUGUUUGGAACGCCCACAUCUACCUUAAGUUC